ACCCAAUAGAUACCCGGGUAGUCCACGCCCUAAACGAUGUAUGCUUGGUGUUGGCUCGUAUGAGUCAGUGCCGUAGGUAAACCUGAUAAGCAUACCACCUGGGGAGUACGCUCGCAAGGGUGAAACUCAAAGGAAUUGACGGGGGCCCGCACAAGCGGUGGAGCAUGUGGUUUAAUUCGAGGCUACGCGAAGAACCUUACCUGGGCUUGAACUGCCGGUAGUAGGACCCUGAAAGGGGAACGACCCGCAAGGGAGCCGGCGGAGGUGCUGCAUGGCUGUCGUCAGCUCGUGCCGCGAGGUGUUGGGUUAAGUCCCGCAACGAGCGCAACCCCUACCCUUAGUUGCCAUCAGGUUAUGCUGGGCACUCUAAGGGGACUGCCUACGCAAGUAGUGAGGAAGGUGGGGAUGAUGUCAAGUCAUCAUGGUCCUUACGUCCAGGGCUACACACGUGCUACAAUGAACGGUACAAUGGGCAAAACCGCAAGGUGGAGGCAAUCCCAAAAACCCGUUCUCAGUACGGAUUGGAGUCUGCAACUCGACUCC
RNAcentral lists this ribosomal RNA (543 nucleotides) under uncultured bacterium. RNAcentral's name for it is "bacterial SSU rRNA". It matches the Rfam family "Bacterial small subunit ribosomal RNA", at positions 772 to 1319 of the family's 1533-position model. The record is from RNAcentral.